GCAAGUCGAACGGUAGGUAGGUGCUUGCAUCUACUGAGAGUGGCAGACGGGUGAGUAACGCGUGGGAACGUACCUUUUGGUCUGGGAUAACAGUUGGAAACGACUGCUAAUACCGGAUAUACCCUGAGGGGAAAGAUUUAUUGCCGAAAGAGCGGCCCGCGUUAGAUUAGGUAGUUGGAGUGGUAAGAGCACCCCAAGCCGAUGAUCUAUAGCUGGUUUGAGAGGAUGAUC
This 231-nucleotide ribosomal RNA is filed under the name uncultured bacterium. RNAcentral's name for it is "partial 16S ribosomal RNA". It matches the Rfam family "Bacterial small subunit ribosomal RNA", at positions 57 to 305 of the family's 1533-position model. The record is from RNAcentral.